UACGUAGGGGGCAAGCGUUGUCCGGAUUUAUUGGGCGUAAAGAGCGUGUAGGCGGCUGGGUAGGUCCGCUGUGAAAACUCGAGGCUUAACCUCGAGACGUCGGUGGAAACCAUCCAGCUAGAGUCCGGAAGAGGAGAGUGGAAUUCCUGGUGUAGCGGUGAAAUGCGCAGAUAUCGGGAAGAACACCCGUGGCGAAGGCGGUUCUCUGGGACGGUACUGACGCUGAGACUCGAAAGCGUGGGGAGCGAACAGG
This 253-nucleotide ribosomal RNA is filed under the name uncultured bacterium. Its description in RNAcentral is "partial 16S ribosomal RNA". It matches the Rfam family "Bacterial small subunit ribosomal RNA", at positions 524 to 776 of the family's 1533-position model. The record is from RNAcentral.